Molecule: ribosomal RNA, 253 nt
Filed under: uncultured bacterium
Lineage: Bacteria
Description: partial 16S ribosomal RNA
Rfam family: Bacterial small subunit ribosomal RNA
Source: RNAcentral
UACGUAGGGGGCAAGCGUUGUCCGGAUUUAUUGGGCGUAAAGAGCGUGUAGGCGGCUUUACAGGUCCGUUGUGAAAACUCGAGGCUCAACCUCGAGACGCCGGUGGAAACCGUAAAGCUAGAGUCCGGAAGAGGAGAGUGGAAUUCCUGGUGUAGCGGUGAAAUGCGCAGAUAUCAGGAAGAACACCCGUGGCGAAGGCAGCUCGCUGGAACGGUACUGACGCUGAGGCGCGAAAGCGUGGGGAGCGAACAGG